GAUGAACGCUGGCGGCGUGCUUAACGCAUGCCAGUCGAACGAUGAAGCCCAGCUUGCUGGGUGGAUUAGUGGCGAACGGGUGAGUAACACGUGAGUAACCUGCCCUUAACUCUGGGAUAAGCCUGGGAAACUGGGUCUAAUACCGGAUAGGAGCGUCCACCGCAUGGUGGGUGUUGGAAAGAUUUAUCGGUUUUGGAUGGACUCGCGGCCUAUCAGCUUGUUGGUGAGGUAAUGGCUCACCAAGGCGACGACGGGUAGCCGGCCUGAGAGGGUGACCGGCCACACUGGGACUGAGACACGGCCCAGACUCCUACGGGAGGCAGCAGUGGGGAAUAUUGCACAAUGGGCGCAAGCCUGAUGCAGCGACGCCGCGUGAGGGAUGACGGCCUUCGGGUUGUAAACCUCUUUCAGUAGGGAAGAAGCGAAAGUGACGGUACCUGCAGAAGAAGCACCGGCUAACUACGUG
RNAcentral lists this ribosomal RNA (466 nucleotides) under uncultured bacterium. RNAcentral describes it as "partial 16S ribosomal RNA". It matches the Rfam family "Bacterial small subunit ribosomal RNA", at positions 28 to 507 of the family's 1533-position model. The record is from RNAcentral.